GGGAGUUGAGCUGCUGUGAACCGUCGUUCUCUCCCAAAAUAUUUCCAGCUAGGGAUUCCGCGUCCUCUAUCUCAAUAGCAUUAUGUAAAUCCCUGGAUAUUGUCUCAAAGCCAAUAAUCAUCGUAUCAUCAUCACCCUCUUCCGAAACGACCUUCUCCUCAAGGUUUAGAGAAGGAAAUCUACUCGCGAUAUCUGCCACUGACUCCCAAGAAGAGUCUUCAGGUAAUGCCCUGUUCCACUGAAUUAGAACCUGUUUAACUUUUUCUUUUGCUUGCCAUAUGAUCCUGCUAUCCAGUAUUGCAAUUGAGUAACUAAUUGGUUGAUUGUUGAUGGCUAUUACUGGAUCUUUUCCGGAAUGAUUUUCAGAUAUUGGACAACAAAAUGCCUUCAACCUUGACACAUGGAAUGUGUUAUGUAUUCUGCAGGUAGUUUUACUUUGUAUGCAGCUUUAUUUAUCACUCUUUCAAUCAUAUAAGGACCAAAAUAUUUUUGGCACAAUUUAUUAUGUAAUCUGCUAGCCACUGAACUCUGCCUGUAUGGCUGUAAUUUUAUUAAGACCCAUGCACCCACUUCAAAUCUCACCUCAGACCUCUUUUUAUCAGCUUGAAGCUUCAUUCUUGCUUGAGCCUUCAAUAAAUUUCUUUUUAUAACUUCCAAUGUUUCUUCUCUCAGAGUUAACAUCAUAUCAACUGACUCUAUUUGUGAAUCUCCUUCCUUAUAAUGUGGUAGUUCAUUGGCUUCUUUACCAUAUACAGCUUUGAAGGGAGACAUCCCAAUGGAAGAAUGGUACCCCGAAUUAUACCAUAAUUCUGCCCAUGGCAGUAAUACUAGCCACUGCUUGGGGUCAUCAUGACAGUAUGACCUUAGAUACAUUUCUAAUGUUCUAUUUACUACCUCUGUUUGGCCAUCAGUUUCUGGAUGGUAUAAGGAAGAAUAGGACAAUUUGGUUCCACUCAAUUUGUGUAAUUCCUUCCAAAAUUUGGAAGUGAAUAUUCUAUCUCUAUCUGAUACUAUUGAUGUCGGUAUUCCAUGUAACUUCAUGAUAUCUUUCAGAAACACCUCUGCUACCUGGACAACAUUGAAGUUUGGGGGUAGUGCACUGAAGUGAGCAUAUUUGGAUAAUCUAUCCACUACCACCAUUAUCACAGAUUUUCCUUCCCUUUUAGGUAAGUCAGUUAUAAAGUCCAUGGUUACAUCUUUCCAUGUUGUAGACGGGAUAGGUAGAGGCAUGAGUAGGCAUGAAGGCUUCUGGUUGGAAGGCUUCAUCUUUUGGCAAAUUAUACAAUCUUUCACAUAGUUAUAUAUAUCCAAUCCCAUCUUAGGCCAAUAAAAUACUUUGCAUACUCUUUUCUUGGUCUUCAUUUUACCAGCAUGGCCUCCUAGCUAUUAAUGAAUCAUGAAACUCUUCUAGAAUUUUAGGAAUAAAAACUGAAUUCUUCUUUAAGUAAUAUCUGCCCUUAAAGAAUAAAAUUCUUGAUUUUACCUGAAACCCAUUGAAAUCUUGGCCUUCCUCUAAAGAUGCAUGAAUAAUGCUCUGCACCUCGGGAUCUUCUUCAUUUUCUUUCUUAAUAUCUUCUAGCAUAGAAUUUACUGAUAUGGAGAAGGAUAGUAAUGAUCCCGGUUCAUCUUCAGCUCCACUAGAAAAUAUAAUUUCUUCACUCUCUCCUUCUUCAAAUGAUCUGGAUAGAGCGUCAGCUACAAUAUUUUCCUUGCCUGGUUUAUAGAGUAUGUUAAAAUCGAAUCCCAAUAAUUUUACAAGGAACACUUGUUGUUCUGGAGUCUGAAUUACCUAAGUUAAGAGAUUUCUGUGAUCAGUUUUAAUUAUAAAAUGAGAUCCCAAUAAGUAGUGUCUCCACUUGGCUACUUUUUGUGUUAUCGCAUACAUUUCUUUCACAUAUAUUGUUGCUGAACUGAGCUUACCUGAUAUCUUUCUGCUGAAGAAUGAUAUGGGGUGCUUGUUCUGAAUUAAUACUGUCCCUACCCCCAUUGUUGCAAGCAUCUAUCUCAAUAAUGAAUUGUUGAUUAAAAUCAGGGUAUCCUAAUACUAGAGCUGACACCAUGGCUGUUUUUAAAUUUUCAAAGCUACCUUGGGCUAUGUCACUCCACUUAAAAGCAUCCUUUUUUAAUAAAUCUGUCAUAGGAGAAGCUAUCUGGGCAUAGCUCUUAAUGAAUCUACUAUAGUAGUCAGUCAAUCUCAAAAAUCCUCUUAGCAUUUUAAGGUUCUUUGGAACAUCCCACUCCACCAUUGCUUUUAUGUUUUCCGGAACCGAAUACACCCCAUCAGCCUUAAUGAUAUGACCCAAAAAAUCCCAUAGAAUCUUGACCAAAGGAACACUUGGACAAGUUUGCUAAUAAUCUGUUCUCCCUCAAGGUGUCAAAUACCUUAUGUAAAUGUGUGAGGUGAUCCUAUAGGGAUGAGCUGAACACUAAUAUAUCAUCAAAAAAUAUAAUAACGAAUUUCCUUAAAUAUUUAGCAAAAACAGAAUUCAUGACUGAUUGGAAAGUUGCUGGUGCAUUUGUGAGACCGAAUGGCAUCAUUAAAAAUUCAAAGUACCCCUGGUGGGUUCUGAAUGCUGUCCUUUCAAUAUGAGGUGGAUGAACUCUGAUCUGAUGAAAUCCAUAUCUUAGAUCUAAUUUUGAGAAAAAUUUAGAUCCUUUAAGUUCCCCUAGAAGUUCAUCCACAGUAGGAAUAGGAAACUUGUCUUUAGCAGUUAGAGCAUUCAAAGCUCUAUAAUCCACACAUAAUCUAUAGCCUCCAUCUUUCUUUUUUACUAGUAGUACUGGAGAUGAAUAUGGGUUGGUGCGCGCUAGGCUUGAUGAUCUGCUGAUUUAACAUUUCAGCCACUAGUUUUUCAAUUUCUGACUUCUGGAAUUGUGGGUACCUAUAAUGCCUCACAUUUACAGGGUUUGCAUUACAUUCCAGAUUUAUAAAGUGGUCUCUAUCUCUUUGGGGUGGCAGCCCUGUUGGUGUUUCAAAAAUAUCAGUAUAUUCUUGAACAAUUUUAGUGACUUUUAGGUUGUUUGAAUUCAGAGUAGGAACCUCUUCAUUUUUCUCUAUUUUCUACAUAUAACAUAAGUAGGCUUCCUGUGUAGAGGCAACAAGGCAUUUUAACUGUCCCACAGAAAGAGGAUCUUCAGAAACCCAAGAACAUCAUUGCCAUAUAAUCUGUUUUUAAGUCUUCUUAAAUGACAUGUUAAGCUCAUCAAAAUUAAAGGUGACUAGUCCCAAAGUCUUUAAUCCUUGAAUCCCAAUAACCACAUUAGCCCCUGCCAUCUGAAGCAAAAAAAUGUCCAUUUUCACCAAUGUAUUCUGGAUUUUUAUUUCUACUUCUUUGCAGACUGCCUCACAAAUUAAUUUACCACUCCCAGUAGACACUUUAAAUGGAACUAUCACAUGAGUGACUAAUUUCAGAGCUGAGGCUACUUUUGUUUGAAUAAAAUUGUGUGUGGAACAUGUGUCCAAUAGUACACUAACAUACUGGCUUUUUAUGAGGCCAUCUAAUCUGAUGGUUGUGGCAUUGAUAUGACCUUCAAAAGCGUGAUAGCUGAUUUCUCUGUCCUCAGUACUAAUGUUUUCAGUUUCUUCUUCCACCACCUCUUCUUCCUCAACCACUUCCCAAAAGCAAGAGUACUCAUCACCUUACAUUUUGAAAAAAAUUCCUUUACACUUAUGGACAGGAAUGAAUUUGUCAUCACAGUUAAUUAAAACAUAACCCUUUAGUUGUCCUCUCCUUUCUUUCAGAAGGAUACAAUCUUUUAAGCACAGGUGAUGGUAUGGAAUUUUCCUUUGGGCUUCCUUUUGUUUGAUCUGUCUUGGUUAUGAAUGAUGUAGUCUUGAGAGUGAAUGACUUUGUAUAAUAGGGCUUGUUGCUCCCUUUAAAACCUGGUUUCCUUGCUUCAAACGUGAGUGAUAGUUCAAAUGCCUCAUGUAUAUAUGAAGGUUUGCCUCUCAUUACCUCCAUCUGUAUUUCUUCCUUGAGACCUGAAAUGUACAUUUCUAAAAUAAAGUAUUCAGGCAGCCAAGUUGUAAAUAAAAUGCCAAGUUGUAAAUUUCCUGAUGACUACAUCUACAAAUUUUUUCCAUGAUGAUAGCAUAUUGCUUGCCUCAAGCCAAGCAAACCAUUUCAUUGCUAUUCCAUCUAAGUGGAAUGAAACAAUAAGAAGUUUUUGAUCUUCGGGAAUUUUAUUAAAUAUAAAAUACCUUCUUAUUGAAAAUAACCAACACUCCGCAUCUGUGUCAUCAAACCUUGGCAUGUUAACUUUGAUAUGCUUGGCAGGGGAGUAAGAAUCAUUAUUUAGGAUGUUGCUGGCAUAGUCAGGAUUGUCUAAGUCCACCACUGACUGAUAGAAUGGUUGCAGAGAUUUUGAUUUAUGAUCUGGUUUUUCCUGAUCUUCAUUGCAUUCUAUGUUGAUUUUAGUAUCAGGUGACUCCCUUUGAUUGUUGUACAGAUUUCGUUUAUUUGCCUUCCCAAUUCCAAAAAAUUGCUAUUGACAUUAGCUCUGAACUCGCUCAUGUCCUUGAUUUGAGACAUUUGUAAUGUCUGUAAUCUCUGAAAAUCUGGAUUUGUUGUUAAAUUCAAUAUAGUCAUCCUGAAAGAAGAGAUCAAAUAUUGAAAGCACCAGUGAUAGGGUUCUAAUCCCUGCAAAUAAAUGAAACAACUUGACCCGAGGGUCGAAGGUGCCUUAGAUCUAAGAUUUGGGAUCUUAAUUAGGUGUCCAAGGCGUGCAUAGCGGGAAUCAAUCCCUGAUAUUGAGACUUAGCCCUGGAUGAUUAGUCUUGUUAAGCAAAUCAGCAGAGAGCUCAAUGCAACAUAUUGUUGAGAAGACCGGCAGUGACGGAGAGGAUGGACGGAGGAGUACUCGACAUAACUGCCGGAGGGUAGGGUUUGCGUUUUGUGGAAUUGAGAGAGAUGAUAAUUUUGAUUCAAAUUUCAAUAAAGAUUUCCUCAAUCAUUACAGAGUUUAUACUCAUGACCUAUUACAACUUAAAAUUGACUUUAGGGUCUUUUGCAAUUUAUUAAAAAAAACUAACUAAUGUUGCUGGGUUAAUGUUUCAGCUCACAACGAAGUCUUGAAGAUGGCCCAGCCUCUUCUUAAGUCUUUCCGGUCUAUUUCCCUUAGCUUGAACACAAAGUCGGUUCAUGGGAGUUGUGCUGCUGCGUCAUUUUCCCCCAGCUAGAGAAAGUUGAAGAAAUGAAAUGAUGAAAAUGUUGUAUGGAAAUUUGAUUGAUUGAUGGUAGUUCUAUAGGCUCUAGAAUGAUUGUACGAAUCUUAAUUACUAGUAUAAACAGUAUUAAAUUUAAUACUGAUGGGGGUGAAACCCGACCAGUACUCCAAGACGCGCAAGCAAGCGCCAAGCGGGGAACUCCGCGGGAAACCGGACCGGAACUCAAGUGUGCAGAGCUCUGCUUCGCUAGGAAUCCUUUCGCUCCAAAUGACCUGCCUUUAAUGAAUGGGGGGUGCCCUCUAUUUAUAGGGGUUCUUGUGGGGGCAAUCUGGUCCUUUGGGCAGUAACCGCCUAACCGCCCAACUGAUCAGAUUGGGCCCAGGGGUCGACUUUCCAGAGAUCGACUUUCUGGGGGUCGACUUUUCCUGGUGAUCGACUUUACUCAAAAGUCGAUCCCAGGGAAGUCGAUCCUCAGGAAAGUCGAUCUUCCUAGGAUUCGACCUGGGAUCUCCCCAACCCUAAAAUAGAUACCUCCACUCAUCUUAGGCUAUCCGGACUUCUAGUUGCUGGGAGGUUGUGACCGUGUUCGGGAUACUGUAUCACCAGUACUCCCCCCUCCUCUGCGUAUUAGAUACUUUGGGAUACGUCUUUUAGUACUAUGGUCUGUGCGUCGGACCCUGUACUAUCAGUAUUCCCCCCCCUCUUUGCGUGCUGGGAUGUGGAUUUCUGGUGAUGUCCCUGGAUGUAAGAUCCUCUCUCACCAGUACUCCCCCCCUUUCUACGCCUGCGAGGUUGUAUCUAUGCUUCCACGGAGGUUGUCACGCGCCUUUGCCAACUAUUAUCCGGUUUGUCCUAGCCGAAGCCUACUCCUUGCACCCCUGUCCGGUCCGAUUCUCCCGCGGAACCCUGCUUGCCCACCUUGACGCCUUGCCUGCGCUGUCCUUGAGCACUGUUUGAGUUCUCUUCCCUGUGGCGGGUUUUGAGAGUACUCGACCCCCUCCUUUUCUCCGCCUUUCUGCGAUAGGGGCUGAGUGUGUUUCCUCGUCUACCCACGUUCAUCCGUGGGUGAGGACUAUUACUUGAAUACUUGCCCCCUCCUUUUGCUCGCCUUUCUGCGACUGAGGCUAAGUGUGACUCCUCGUCUACCUAUGUUCAUCCAUAGGUGAGGAUUGUUGUUUGAAUACUUGCCCCCUCCUUUUGCUCGCCUUUCUACGACUGAGGCUAAGUGUGACUCCUCGUCUAGCUACGUUCGUCCGUAGGUGAGGAUUGUUGUUUGAGUACGUCCCUCGUCUAACCUACGUUCCUCCGUAGGUGAGGUUUACUCUUGGACACUUGCCCCUCUAUCUACAUUUUUGUAGAAUGGGGUGUGUGUUUAACCGACGUGUCCCCCGUCUAACCUACGUUCUUCUGUAGGUGGGGUUCACUUUUGCUGAUGUGUUCCCCGUCUAACCUACGUUCUUCCGUAGGUGGGGUUCACUUUUGCUGAUGUGUUCCCCGUCUAACCUACGUUCUUCCGUAGGUGGGGUUCAUUUUUGAGUACGUCCCUCGUCUAACACUACGUUUCCGUAGGUGAGGUUCACUCUUGCUGAUGUGUUCCCCGUCUAACCUACGUUCUUCCGUAGGUGGGGUUCACUCUUGAGUACAUCACUCGUCUAACACUACGUUUCCGUAGGUGAGGUUUACUCUCGCCUUAGAUGGGAUACGCAUCCUGACUCUGUUACCAUUAAGACUUUCUCUAUCCACGUUCUUCCGUAGGUAGAGUUAAUUUGGCGUCCUACUUUGUUACUGCGUCCAGUAAUAGUAGGAGUUCAAAUAUCUUUAUAUGGCUCAGUUCAUUUUGCUGCCGUAUCUCCGUCCGAGUUGUGGACUUCCACGAUUCCUCAGGAGCUUUUCGUGCUACACCCUCCUGUCUUGGUGUGCCUCCGUAACUUCAACUUGUCUGGGUUCUUUUUUCUGCACCCCUUUUAUGUGGGAGGAAAAAGUCGAUCCCUUGUUGGUUUUGGUCGACUUUUGCUAAAUGUCGANNNNNNNNNNNNNNNNNNNNNNNNNNNNNNNNNNNNNNNNNNNNNNNNNNNNNNNNNNNNNNNNNNNNNNNNNNNNNNNNNNNNNNNNNNNNNNNNNNNNUGUUGAGUUUCCUCGACUUUUGCAAAAUGUCGAUCCCCUGUUGAGUUUGGUUGACUUUUGUCAAAAAGUCGAUUCCUGGUGCUUUUGGUCAAAAGUCGAUCCCUUGUGUAAAAAGUCGAUUUUGCCAUUUUGUCCUUUUGUGCUGUCCUAGGGUCUAUAAAUAGGACCCCUAGGUUCUCCUUUUCCUUCAUUCAUCCAUGGCUCUUCUUGUGAGUCUCUUUGCUGAUUUUAUUCAGGGAGAGAUUGAGGAGCUGGAUCGGAUUUUGAAUAUUCUGGAUCCUCGGUCGUCGACCUUGGAUCUUCCUUCUCUGCGCCAACUCAUUGUUGAGUGGCAGAGUGUUGCUGUUGCUGCUAGGGAGUCCAUUUUUGAAGAAUGGUCUGGUGGCGAUCUUCCGCCUGCCUCUUCUUCUGUUAUUCCUCCACGUGGCCGACGUCGGAGGCGUUCCCGCCGCGGUGCUUCCCCGUUGGAUCAGGUCCCUCGCCGCUUGCGUCGCCGUAUUAAUUUUAAUUAGGAACCUGUAAAAUUNNNNNNNNNNNNNNNNNNNNNNNNNNNNNNNNNNNNNNNNNNNNNNNNNNNNNNNNNNNNNNNNNNNNNNNNNNNNNNNNNNNNNNNNNNNNNNNNNNNNUUAUUCGACUUACACGUCGAUCUCAUUUCUCCCUGGAAAUGUCGAUGUUGCCUAAAAAUGUCGAUCCCACCUUUUUCUGAGGAUGUCGAUGACUAUUGAUCCUUUUCUAAAGGUGUCGGAUUUUUGACAAGUCGAUCUUAUUUCUCCCUGGAAACGUCGAUGUUGCCCAAAAAAAUGUCGAUCUCACCUUUUUCUGAGGAAGUCGAUGACUGCUGAUCCUUUUCUAAAGGUGUCGGAUUUUUGACAAGUCGAUCUCAUUUCUCCCUGGAAAUGUCGAUGUUGCCUAAAAAUGUCGAUCCCACCUUUUUCUGAGGAUGUCGAUCAGAGUAGUGUGGAAUGUCGAUCCUGACCUUCUCUUUUGAAGGUUUCGAAUUCCUUGCCAAAUGUCGACGCCUAUCCCCUUUUUUCUGGGAAUGUCGAACAUGCUUUCCUGCGGAAUGUCGAUCCUGGCCUNNNNNNNNNNNNNNNNNNNNNNNNNNNNNNNNNNNNNNNNNNNNNNNNNNNNNNNNNNNNNNNNNNNNNNNNNNNNNNNNNNNNNNNNNNNNNNNNNNNNAUGUCGACGCCUAUCCCCCUUUUCUGGGAAUGUCGAACUCGCUUUCCUGCGGAAUGUCGAUCCUGGCCUUCUCUUUUGUAGGUUUCGAAUUCAUUGGUAAAUGUCGACGCCUAUCCCCCUUUUCUGGGAAUGUCGAACUCGCUUUCCUGUGGAAUGUCGAUCCUGGCCUUCUCUUUUGAAGGUUUCGAAUUCCUUGGUAAAUGUCGACGCCUAUCCCCCUUUUCCUGGGAAUGUCGAACUCAAUUUUCUGCUGAAUGUCGAUGGUUUUUCUGAAAUGUCGAUGAAUCUUCCUGAAAUGUCGAUGUCAUCUAAUUGGGUUUUGGGGUUUUUCACGGACUGGGCCGUCGUGGGCCUGCCGGGCCCGUGGGCUUUCCGGCCCAACGGGUCGACCCGGAUGAACAGUGCCCGCGACGGUUCGUCUUCGACUUUCCCCUAUAAAUAGCGGAGGGGGGUUCACUUCCUCUCCACUUGUUUCCAUCGCUCUGAGGCAUCGACUUUCUUCGCAUCGACUUCCAGCUUCUUCGCUUCGACUUCCAGCUUCUUUGUUUCGACUUCCAGCGUCUCCGCUUCGACUUCCAGCGUGCGUGAGGCUUCGACUUGAGCCUUGAAGGUGCAGCUUUCUGGGGUCCGACUUUUGUUGUCGGGCUCUACUGAGGCUGCACUGGGUUCGACUUCCUUGGGGUCCGACUUUUCUGAAAGUCGGUCCCUUUCGAAGUUGUUCCCCAUUGGACUGUGGUCCGACUUUGUGAGGUUUGACGCCUUGUCAUCGACUUUUCAAAGUUGGAUCCAUUUUUAUUGGGAUCGACUUCCUGACAGUCGACUUUCCUGUGAUCGACUUCUUGAGACCUUUGUCUCCUGACAGUCGACUUUUCUGGAAUCGACUUCUGAGAUCGACUUCCCUUAUAUUGCAAGUUCGAUUCCCUUAAGUCCAGGUUGACUUUUCUUGGGAUCGACUUUUGCCUUAACUUGGCCUGACUGCUCUGUUCUUCGUGCAGGUUUUAUAAUGUCUUCUGACAAGAACUCGCAGCAAGACUCUCCUCAGAUCCCAAAAAUCAUAAAUAUCGAGGUUCGGAAUCCUUCUGCUGAACCGGAGUCUGUUCAGCCUGCUCCUGUUGUACCGGAGCCUAGAGCUUCGCCCUCCGUGCCUAUUGGAAGUAAGAGAAAGACUCUUUCUCGUCGUACGCGCAAGCCCGUACCUCCUAGUAAGUUACUUAUUUAUUAUUUAUUUCGUAACUUACUCUUUAUUUGUUUCUUUUUUGUUUGUAGGUGCUCCCCACUCUUCCCCCAUGCGUUCCAGUUCGGGGUCUUCUACCUCUAGCUCGGGAAGCUCGGGUUCCUCCUCCUAUUACUCUUCUUCCUCGGAGGAUGUAGAUAUUGGAGGAACCCCUCCCUCCAUUGUCAGGACUCCUCCUCCUACCAUCAUUUUACCUUCUAUUCCUGAGGAGACUCCUACUUCGGGGGUUUUAUCUGUGACUACAGGCAGUUCUGCUCAACUUCCUCCCGAAGUCUGUAGUCAGAACAUUCAUGUUCUUGAGAGUUCCCCUAAGGGUUACCCCUCUGAGACGAGGGAUAAAUACCCCUUUCCUUCUCCCCUUGAGGAGACGAGCGUCCCAUCCUUCUAUCGGGAAAUGGAUGGUUCUUGGCGUCAGUGGUCCGUUCUUGUUCGCAACGGUUUCCACGUCGUCCCUACUCUUGACCGGGGCGAGUACGGGACUGGAUAUGGUUCCUUCUGUGCAGUCUCUCUGACUGAUAUUCCAGGCUACCCCCUUUCCUCUAAUGCGGGUAGCUGCUCCAACACCCUUUCCCUGGAUGCCGCCCAAAGAAUUCUGAGGGGGUUGGAGCUUAGAGAGAGAGUGUACUGGGCGUACCCCUCUGAGAAUACUGGUGACGUGCCCCCCUAUUUCAUACUGGCACUUCACCGAAUUUAUUUCACUAACUUUCCAAUCCUUCCGAUCCCUUCUCUAGUUAGUGAAAUACUCUUGUAUUCUGGAUUGUGUAUAUCUCAGAUGGGUGCUGCCUUCUUCUUUUAUGUCCGGGGAUUUAUAAAUAUCCUUAGGGAUGCUAGCAUAGUCCCUACUGCUCGGCUGUUCUUCCACUUCUUCACAUUCCAAAAUCCGAAGAAGGGCAGCCCUUUCAUUGCCUGUGCCAGCCGUGCUACCUCUAUUACUCACUCUGCCCUCUUGAAAGAUCCUCCGACCAGACGGAACAAGAGUGAGUUUAUUUUUGUGGAUUGCAGGUUAUGCCCUGGUAGCAGACUUCUCCCUGCAUCCACUAGUGGUCGUAAACCCAUUCCUCGUCCUGAUCUAACUGAGGAUGAGGGAGCUUCCGUGCAAAAGCUGGCCUUUUUGCAUCCUAUCGCUGUGCCUGUCGGUCACGCGAUUGAAGAUACUUUUAACCGACAAGGUCUUCCUUUUCCUGUUUUUCCUUUUAUGUUUUCUAUACAUAUGCAUUUUCUAAUUCUGUUUUUAUUCCUUGCAGAUUUUUAUAUGCAAAACCCUGGAGGUGUCCCUGAACGCGUUGGGCAAAACGAAACGGGCUCCAUGGUUUACGCAGCUGCCUCCAAGCCUUCUGAUGCUGAUCAUCUGAGGCAACGUUCCCUUGAGAAUGCCUAUACAAUGGCGCAUUCCCCUACUCCUCCUGACGAAGUCCCUCGAACUGAGGAAGGGGAGGUACCUCCGGAGGUACCUAAAGACACUACUCCUGGGCAGUCUCCUGCUGCCUCGAGGCUUUCUGGCUUCUUCCGUACUCUGUCAGAAGAAGAGCGAGAGAAAGCAACAGAGAAAACAACGGAGAAGGAGGCUCAGUCUAAGCAGACUGAGAAAACCACAGAGAAAGAGAUUCCUGAGAGGAGAAAAAGAAAAGAACGAACUCCUCCCUCCAGGACCAGCUUAUCUCCUCCAAGGAAGAGAAGAUACUCCCCCAGGCGACGAAGUCCUCUUCGCAGGAGAUUUUAUGCUGGGGAGUCCUCCCGGGGUCGCUAUAACUACUCUUCCACCCGGGAGACGCAACUGCCGGGGUACCAAGGUUCACACCCCCGGAACUACGGGUCCAAAUUUCUUCUGACCCCUGACACGGAUGCCACCCGAACCACACUGCGGGCCAUCUCUGGGUAUCCGAUGGAUCGGAUUGUUGAAGAAAUAGGACAGAACCUGAGCAACGUGAGUGCUUUUAUUUUGAUUAUUUUUAUGAGCGUGUCCUUACCCAUUCUUUCUCUUUGCAGCUCACCCAUUUGUUCCAGGGCCGCAUCUCUUCCCUGUCUCAUCUUCGUGACUCUCAGUCUACGGAAGACGAGUUGAAGAGAGUGAAGCGCCGAUGCAAAGAUCUGGAAGGUGAGGUUGCACAAAAAGUUUCAGACGCCUCAACUCUGUCUGCCACCAAGAAGAAGUUGUCUGCGGAUUGGGCUGCACAAAGGAAUUUCUUGAGAGAAAAAGAGCAGGAAAUCUCCAAACUUAAGGGAGAGUUGGGGGCUGCAAGGUUGGAACUCGCAACUGAACGUGCCAAGGUCAUCAUUAAAGAGUCGAUGAUCGUUGAUCUUGACCUUCAGCGCGAGAAUGUUGAGGCGACUCUCAACACCUGUCAGACACAGAAUGCCAUAUUUUCCGACCGACUGAGUGAGAGCCAUGAGGAGAACAAGAAGCUCCUGGAGUUGCAGGAUGAAUAUAAGAACUCAAUAAUGCGACUAGAAGAAAUGGACCGGGUAAAGACUAAGGAGGUCCAACGCCUACUGAGGAAGCUCGACUUGCAACUGAAGAGCUUCAACGUGUGAUCAACCAUCUGGAGAAGCUCCAAGCUGACUAUCUUGUCAAUGUGCAAGAUUAUAAUGACUUGGUUGAUCUGGGUCCUCAUGUUUGCCCUGGUUUCGAGGCUGAGGAUAUCCACAACUGGGCCCGUAAGUACCCUAAGGAAGCUACUGAAGUUCGAAAUCGGGCGCUUGCGGAAGAAGAGGAUGAAGAGAAUGAAGAGAAUGAAGAAGAGGAGGUUCUGGAGGCGCUUGCUAAAGAUUUCUCUAUAGAAGAUCAAGACAACAACGAUGCAGAGGUCUCUAAAGAUGCACCCCCUCCUCCUCUAUCUUAUUCUUUUAACUGUUGUAAUUUACAUUCCUUUGUAAUUUUUUUUAAAUCAAUAUAUGGAAUGUAUUUUUAAGUGUUCUGAUAGCUAACUAAAUAACAUAUUAGUUAUGUAGUUCAAACUAUUACAAGAGUAAUAUAAUCCUACUUAAUUGUUUUAAAAAUACAACUGUAGGUUAUCUGCGUGCCAAGUAUUAGGAAUGCCUGUUCCAUCUUCCCGUUUUAACUUGUACGUGCCUGGUCGGAGUUAUUCCUCCACCACAUAUGGUCCUUCCCAAUUUGCGCCUAGUUUGCCUUUAGAGCAGUCUUUUCUGCCGACACUUGCUUUUCUCCAUACUAGGCUUCCUUUUCUUAUCGCUUUACCCUUGACAUUCUUGUCGUGAUAUCUAGCGAUACUUUGUUUAUAAGUUGCAUUCUUUGCCUGUGCAUUAUCCCUAAGCUCAUCUACUAAGUCCAGAGUUAUUGCGCAUGAUCUCAUGUUUUCUUCCAUGUCAUAGGAUAAUACUCUGACUGUUGGGAUGCUUAGCUCUGUUGGGAUUAGUGCUUCCAUUCCAUAUGCUAGUGAGAACGGGGUUUCUCCGGUGGGUGUCUUUUCAGUGGUUCUAUACGCCCAUAGGAUCUCUGGUAGUAGAUCUGCCCACGAACCUUUGGCCUGUUCGACUUUUUUCUUCAGUCCCUGAACGAUGGCUCUGUUUGUGACUUCUACUUGCCCAUUACCCUGUGGUCUGUAUACCGAUGAAAAAUGGAUUCUGGUGCCCAUGUUCUCGCACAAUCUCGUAAACUCCCCACCGGUAAACUGUGUACCGUUAUCUAUCACUAUAUGCACUUAAAGACAAACUUUGUUGCUGCUCCUUGAGUUAUUUUGGGUACAGCUAGUGCCUCGACCCAUUUAGUAAAGUAGUCGACAGCCACAAAUAUAAAUUUAGCCUGGCCUGUCGAUACUGGAAAUGGUCCCACAAUAUCUAAUCCCCACAUUGCAAAGGGAAUGGGGCUUUCUACCCCUGUUAGCUGAGUUGCGGGGCUCCUCUGUAUGUUUUUGUGUAUUUGACAGGCCUUGCAUUUUCUUGCAAAUAGGACUGCAUCUUUUUUCAGUGUGGGCCAGAAGUAUCCCUGCCUUAUUAUUCUUUGGGCCAAAGAUCUUCCCCCCUGAUGUAUUCCGCAAACUCCUUGAUGAAUCUCCUCUACAAUGAAUUGUCCUUCUUCUGUUGAGACACAUUUCAUUAGAGGUCCGUCGUAGGAUUUCUUAUACAGAAUAUCACCGAUCAGGCAGAAUCUUGAAACGCGUGUUUGUAAUUUGCGUCUUUCAUUUUUAUUUUCAGGAAGUUUCUGUCCCUCGAAAUAUUCUAUCAAGGGCUUCCUCCAGUCUUCUGCCUGGAUCACAACUAAGUUACAUGAAGGUGUAGAUGCUGAGUCAACCAGUAUCUCUCUCUGCCCCCCCUCGAAAGCAGAAGCUAGCUUUGCCAGGGCAUCAGCUGAGUUAUUUUGACUCCUUGGUAUCUGCUCUACUUCAACCUUAGUAAAUUGUUAUUUGAGUUUCUCCAAUGUGGCUGCGUACUGUACAAUUAGAGAUUCUUUAACAGUGAACUCUCCUGUGAAUUGUCGAGCCACUAGUUGAGAAUCUGUUCUAAUAAUUACUGAACAGGCCCCUAACCUUCUAAGAAUUUUAAUUCCUUGGAUCACAGCUUCGUAUUCUGCUAUAUUAUUCGUAGCUGAGAACUGUAAUCUGAUGGAAUGUUCAUAUAUUCGUUGGUCUGGAGUGAUUAUCUUUAUUCCUACUCCUGCACCUGUACUGCAGCUUGAGCCAUCAACCUCUACUAUCCAGGGUUUUUCUUUGCUUUCCUGGGUCAUGUCUACAAUAAAGUCUGCAACUUCUUGCCCCUUAAUGGCUGUGGCAGGAACAAAAUCUACAUCGAACUCGCUUAACUCCAGUGCCCACUUCGUUAAUCUUCUGGAAGUAUCUGGCCUGUGGAGGAUUCUGCGCAGUGGAUGUUAUGUUAAGACUUUAAUUGUAUGAGCCAGGAAAUAUGCUCUGAAUCUGCGUGCUGCAUGUACUGCUGCCAGGACUAUUUUUUCCACUGGAGGAUACCUUGUUUCUGCCCCUUGUAGCCUUUUGGAGUGAUAAUAUAUCGGGAUCUGUUCACUGUCCCUUUGACAUAUUAGAACUGCACUGAUAGCCUCUUCUGAAGCUGCUAUGUAGACAUACAAUUCCUCCCCUAUUUUUGGCGAAGUUAGGUGUGGUAGAGAAGCCAGAUGUGCUUUGAGCUGUAGAAACGCCUCGUCACACUCUGUAGUCCACUUUAUUGCCCCUUUUUGACUAGUUUUUAGUAGCUGGAAAAAGGGUUUGCACUUGUCUGCUGUUUUGGAAAUGAACCGACUUAAGGCAUUGAUCUUUCCAUUCAGCUUUUGUACCUCCUUUAUUGUUCGAGGUGGUGUUGUUUCUAGUAUCGCUGCUAUUUUAUCUGGAUUUGGUUUUAUCCCUUUCUGCCCUACAUAGAAUCCAAGAAAUUUUCCUUCUUGCACUCCGAAACUGCAUUUGGCAGGGUUUAACCUCAUCCCAUAAUUCUGCAGAGUUUCCAGGGUUUCUUUCAGAUCAUUUGGGUGCUCAUCUGCUUUUUUGGACUUUACCAGAAUGUCAUCUACAUAUGCCAGGAUAUUUCUUCCCUCCUGCUUUUUGAAAACCUUGUCCAUCAGCCUUUGAAGGUUGCUCCUGCAUUUCGUAGGCCGAAUGGCAUGACUUUGUAGCAAUAUGUCCCCCAUUCUGUGAUGAAUGACGUAGCCUCUUCAUCAUCCUCUUUCAUUAAGAUCUGAUUGUACCCUGAAUGUGCAUCCAUCAUAGAUAGCAACUCAUUUCCUGAUGCUGCAUCUACUAAUCUGUCGAUUGAUGGGAGUGGGUAGCUGUCUUUUGGACAUGCUUUGUUGAGAUCUGUGAAGUCUACACACAUCCUCCACUUCCCAUUAGAUUUUUUGACCAUAACUGGGUUUGCUAACCAUUUUGGAUAUUUGACCUCCCGGAUGUGCCCAGCUUUGAUUAACUUUUCAAUUUCAGCCUGUGCUGCCUCCUUUCUUUCAGCUGCGAGUAUUCUUCGCUUCUGCCGUAUAGGAGUAAAACUACUGUCUAUGUUGAGCUCAUGGCAUGUUAUAGUGCGUUGUACCUGUGAGGGUGCCUCCCCUUCCCAUACGAACGUGUGCACAUGGGUUUCUAAUAGUUGCAGUAGUGACUCUUUUAACUUGGAGGAUAAAGAUGUCCCUAUCAGGACUCCUCCUUUUGAGAGUUUGACUUCCUCAACAUGAUUGGAUGAGGCUGUGUCUUCUUCCUCCUCUCUUUCUUGGAUGUACAUGGUUACAGGUUUGGCUAUUUUAGUUGCCUUCCUGUACGAAUUUCUGGAGUCUUUCUGUGCUCCAGAAACUGUUGCCAUUCUGCCAUCUUUUCCUGGGUACCUGAAGCAUUGAUGAUAAGAUGAUGGUAUCGCUUUGAAACCGUGAAUGCUUGGUCUGCCCAAGAUCCCAUUGAACGGAGAGUCUAUAUUGACCACAAUGAAGUGUGCUGUACGUGAUACUCUCCCGUUUCUUUUUCCCAGGGAUAUCUGUAGAUCGAUGGCUCCUACUACUGGGGCCUUUGUGUUUGUAAACCCAUAGAUGGCUUCCUUGGCCGGGGUUAGCUGAUCCACUUUGUAGCCCAUCUUUUCGAACGCAGCUAGGUAUAAUAUAUCUACUGAGCUGCCGUUGUCCACCAUAACUUUGUUCAGACUUAAGUCAUCCCCUAUGUCCACUUGUAUCACUAGUGGAUCCUCAUGUGGGCUGACCACGUUGUCCAGAUCUUCCUCAGAGAAGCUUAUUUCCUCGCUUGGGUACGAUCUUUUCUUAGAUUUUUGCAUUACUUUGCGCGAGUAACUUCUGCUUUCUCCUACCGAUCCUCCACCGAAGAUUAAAUUAAUUACCCUUCUUUUGUGGUCAGUGUCUGAAUCUGGACUCCUUGAGCGUUGGCGCUUACCCUUGUUCUUUGGGUCCUUGCAGCCUUGUCGCCCCCUUUCUACUUUAUUUAUAUAUUGCCUUAGCUUUCCUUCCUUUACUUGUGUAUCUAGGAAGGUGCUCAGGUCCCUGCAGUUCUCCGUGUUGUGCCCGUAAUCCUUGUGGAACUUGCAAUACAUGUUCCUCCUUGUUCGAGCCUCUUUCGUUGCAGGGUUCAACUCUUCUGGUUGAGGAAACCUUAUUCUUCCUUUUUCUUUAUUAUAGAUUUCCUCUUUUGGAGUAGUGAAAACCGUAAAUCCCAAGUCUUUGUACUUUGGAUAUCUUGAUUUCCCGAACUCCUCAGAUGUCUGGUAGACCUUUCCGUCGUGUUUUGGUCUCCAGGAUGAUUCUCCUUUUUCGAAUUUCUGGAAUUUUUUCUUUGGUGCUUCGUAUGCUUUUUUAUUGCUUAUGGCACCUCUCUCUUUUUCCUUUUCUUUCUCAUACUCUUCAGAAUUUAUGUAUUUCUGAGCCUUUGUUAGCAGGUCCUCCAUGCAUGUUACAUUACUGACGUUUAGCUUUAUUGCUAAUGGCGUGUUCAUGUCUAGCCCUUUUGAGUAUGCGCAUAUUGCGAUUGUUGUGUUUAGAUCGGAGAUUUUCUGCAUGGCUUCCGUGAAUUUAGUUGUAUAAUUCCGGAGCGUGUCUCCAUUCUGCUUGAUUGCGAACAGCGAUUCCGUGCCCUUUCUGACCCUUGUGUUUCCACAAUGUUGGGCGACGAACUUCUUUUUUAAGUCCUCGAAAUUUGUGCUCCCUGGCUGCAAUUCGAUGAACCAUCUGUAUGUGGGUCCUUUUAAUGUUCCUGGGAACGCUCUACAGAGAAUGUCAUCCCUUGACGUAGCCCACUGCAUUGCCCCUACGAACAUGUUUAUAUGGUCCGCUGGGUCCAUCUUCCCAUCAUAGAUCUGUAGCCUGGGUAGCCUGAAUUUCAGAGGUGCUGGUUUUACCAUUAGCGAUUUGUGCAAGGCAUCCAUGCCUACUAGCCAGUUUGGGACCUCGCCCCCUCCUUCCGUGUCUCCCGUACUUUCUUACUGUACGGGUUUUCUGAAAAAAGGUUUGGGUUGCCUCUCUGUUUGUGAGGUAGUGGUGCGCUGGAGUGUGCUGCCCUAUGACUUGACACCUCCUGCUGUGCCUUGGCCUGCUUUGAGGUUUGAGCUUUUGUAUGGUAUAUCGAUGCCCUAGACUUUUCAAUAUCCUUUAUCUUCUCGCUCAUUUUUGCUAUGGUUUCCUUCAUUUUUUCCAGUUCUUCUAUGGGCAUUUUUAUGAACCCAUGAGUAGAUUCUGAUGCAGCAGUCCUUGGUUCCUUGCUGCUUGUGGGUCCCCCCUUCUGAGGCUGUUCUUCCGAAGGUUUCUCCUUUUCAGCAAGGAGUCGGAUGGCCUCUGCUAUCGCCUGAACUGUGAUGUUCAGAUUUUCCCCUCCUGCUGAUGCUUGGGGAGUUUGCGCGGGUUCACCUUCGGGUUCAGACUCAGGUCCUGUGGGAGUCCUUUUGUUUUUAUUGGCCUUAGGUGGUCGACCCACUGGCCUUUUAGUUUUUGAGUUGCCAGGCUGUUGCCCUGGCGCCUCCUGAGAAUUUGCUCCUCCUCCUUGGGAAGUGCUUCGAGUUACUACCAUCCUGUAGUGUUCGACUUUUCUUGGAAGGUGGGUUCGACUUUUGCUUGAAGAGAAAAGUCGAUCUUCAAAAAGUCGACUCCUAGUGCACUUGGAGGAUUCCUUGGAAUUCGAUGUCUGAAAGCCUAGCUCCUUGAGGGGUCGACUUUUUCUUGGAAGAAAAAGUCGAUCUUCUGAAAUGUCGAUCCCUUGCUGGCUGAUUUCCUCGCAAAACUUCCUAGCUGGCGACUUGGAAAAAAGUCGAUCCCUUUUUUCGAAAAAGUCGAGGAGCUUUUGUCGUGAGUAUCUUUGAGUCACAGACGGCGCCAACUGAUGGGGGUGAAACCCAACCAGUACUCCAAGACGCGCAAGCAAGCGCCAAGCGGGGAACUCCGCGGGAAACCGGACCGGAACUCAAGUGUGCAGAGCUCUGCUUCGCUAGGAAUCCUUUCGCUCCAAAUGACCUGCCUUUAAUGAAUGGGGGGUGCCCUCUAUUUAUAGGGGUUCUUGUGGGGGCAAUCUGGUCCUUUGGGCAGUAACCGCCUAACCGCCCAACUGAUCAGAUUGGGCCCAGGGGUCGACUUUCCAGAGAUCGACUUUCUGGGGGUCGACUUUUCCUGGUGAUCGACUUUACUCAAAAGUCGAUCCCAGGGAAGUCCUAGCCGAAGCCUACUCCUUGCACCCCUGUCCGGUCCGAUUCUCCCGCGGAACCCUAGAAUAGAUACCUCCACUCAUCUUAGGCUAUCCGGACUUUUAGUUGCUGGGAGGUUGUGACCGUGUUCGGGAUACUGUAUCACCAAAUACUAUAUAAUAUCAGCAAAGGUCUGAGAUGACUUUAUAAAACUUUGACAGAAGGAAAAGACAAAACAAUUUAAGCUAGACUGCAAUGUAGGUAACAGUUGUAGUUCUGCAGGUUGAAAAAAAGUCAUACAGUAGUCUAUGAUAGACCAUAAUAGGUAUUUAACAAUAAUAGGUCAUUAACUAUCACAUUCUAAUAAUUAGUACUGAUAAAAAUAAGGAACAUUAACAAUAGAUGACGUUUGAUUGUUAAUAAUUAGUACUAAUAAAGUAGGUAGAUGACAAGACAAAUUUAGAUAGUAGUACAGACUAUAAUGACGUCGAAGUAUGCAAUCACAUCGGUAAACAGAAGACCGAAUAAUAUUACAAGCAGCAAUAAAAAAAUAAUUUUUUUUGAAUAGUAUUGUGAUUGACUCGUAGGCAGCUAAUUGUCCCCCUGUCUCGGGAGUGGGCGCAGAUCGCGUCGGGGCGGGCCUAGCGAGAGCCGCGACGACAGGAAAUGACGCAGGUUAGUAGCCGGGAGAGACGAGGACCCACGGGAGCCGCGACGACCGUGCGACCGACGGCCAUAGCCGGUAGCCUCAUCAGGAGCGGGCGCAGGAACCACGACCGAAGAGGGGCAGGAGCAGCAUGCAAGGACCGGCGGGAGCUCGAUGUAACUGCAGGAGCGGCGUCGGGGGCGCCGCUGGCGGGCCGGCUCGCGAGGAUAUCAGAGAGACGGCGGUGGAUAUCUAUCAACACAGUGUUGAGACGCUGAGUCUCCGCCAAGGCCACAUGGUUGGGGGCACCGGCGGGCAUCAGCAGGCAUAAGGCCCACGCGACAUGCUGAAGCUGCAGCUCAUGGCCGUACUCCUCGAGAACAUCCUGGAUAUUCAUCGCGAAGGAAGGGAGGAAUGAGGAAUCAAAGCAACAAGCGACCUAUUUAUAGGGAGGAAGCGAAGGGGAGCAGCUCGAAACUCGAGGCGUCAUUAAGACGAGUAAAGAGGGGAGGUUGAAGACCAAGUACGGACGGACCGCCCAACGGUCCAUGGACCGAACUGGCCUCUUCAAGGGCCCAGGCGCAUGAAUGGCCCGAGCCGGCGGGCCCAUGAGGCCCAAAGGCAACGCAAAAUACUAUAAAUACCUCCCCUGGUCCACUAGGGGAGGAGGUUGACAAUUCUAAAGAGUGAACGCUUGAGAGAGUUGAGGUUGUGAGCUUGGAGCGACGAACCCACACACUAACAAUGUCCAAUAGUAGUUCAAUGAAAAAGAAAUUGGUAGUAAUGUGACCUUUAGAUUAGAAAUAGAACCACGUGAAUGAUUUAGCGCAGGAUGGCGCAAAUAGAGGUUGGCACAUAACCCUAACCCUAAAUAAAAUAAAUCACAAAUCCACAAUAUUAAUUGCAUUUUUAACAUAAAACAUAAAGAAAUUAAUAUAUACAUUAGCAAUUUAUUUUAAAAUCGAGAAAACUAUUUGCGUUGCAGUAAAACUGAAAACAAUUAUAAAGCCAAUUAAGACUAUUGGUUUUUUGAAGUAGUCCUUCAUUAGUUUGGCUCUGCGUCUGUUGAAGGGUCUAUUACAUACUCGGUUGAUAGCUUUGAAUUGUUGAGAAAGAAAAUCCACUUCCUUUUUAGGUAACACCAACCAUGAUCUGCGUUUGCUGAAGAAUUCUGCUAUUUCCUUAGCUCCAUGUGUGGUGGUGACUACUCUCAGCAUCCCAACGAACAUUAGAGCUUCUACAUCUGCAUUUGUUUUGACCAAGUGACUCAUGUACACUGCGUAUGUUGAAAUCCUGCUUCUUCUUCCACCUAAUCUGUGUCGACGACGUGGAUCAAAAUUCUCAAGAAAAGUGUCCUUCCAAUUUCUCAAAUAAACAACUUUCUUCUCCGUGGUUUUCAAACCAUAUAUUUGUUCGUAGAACAACAUGUUCUCAAAUUCAGUAAAAAAAUUGUCAUUUAUCACCUUUGAUCCCUCCACCAUAAAGCCAUAUUGAAAGUGCAUAUUAUAUGGCCUCAUAUCAUUGGAAAGAAACGACAAACCAGAAUAGAAUUGUUCUUUUGCUGUUGGAAUGGUUGACAUCAUUGAAGGACUUUUAUUAUCCAACCUUCUACUACUUGUGAACAGAGAACACAUAUCGCCAUUUGAUACAAGCAAGUCAACGUACACGAUAAAACCAUGCAAAAGCCAGACUACGAUGUGCCAAAAAAGCUGACUACAUAGCAUCACCGAGCAAAAAAUUGGAAAAGUUAAUACAAUAAUUAAAAGCCGCCACAUAGAGACAAUUGUUCGUCUUUUAAAGUGACGCAGCCGAACUAUGUAAAGUAGAUGAAGAAGAUGAUCGACUUCUCCAUCUUCUUUUACUUCACCGUAUGCACCAAUUUUCUUCUUUCUAUUGUCUACGUAAUAAACCGCCAAAUCAAACAAACUGCAUCUUUUUUUUAGUUUCAAUUUUGCAUGAUCAUAAUCCGUCAGUUCAUAUAUAACUUCAAGAAUAGAAAAAGGUACCUGAUUCUCGAUGAGAACCAUAUCAUGAUUUAGUAGAUCAAUAUCUAUUCCGGGAAGCACAAAUGUUGGACACUCGCUGUACUUCAACAAAAACUCCACAACCGUCUAAGACCAACAUCUUCAAGAACUCAUCAUUUGAGACUCCACAAGUAGCAAAAUCGUUGUACUUGGCCUUUGCAUUAAGAAACUGGUCUCUAAUCUUCUUCGUAUACGUUUCAACUUUGUUAUUCUCAAUGUUGCGACGAAGCAGGUCAUUAAGGUAUUGCAGCUUGAGAUUUUGCAUGGGAUAGAGGGCUUCAUUCUUAGAGUGGUAUGGUCCAAUGGAAAUCAUUUUGGGCUCGAAAUCACCACACCAUUAGCUUGAAUGAUCUCUUCCGGGACUCUACAUAUGGUUACCGUCUGUCUCCGAUGACCGUAGUUUUUCGAUGUAGUCGAUAUCCACAUCUUCUGUCAGCUCCUUUACAAUUGAAGCGACCACAUCGUUUGAUGAUAGAUUCUCCUCAAUUUCUAUUUCGGUUUGAGUGCGUGGCCCGUUUGUUUCCCCUACAAUGAAGUUUGUUGAAGUCUCCUCCACUUUUUCUACUUGUUUCAGAACUCGUGCCAUGGAAGAAAUUGGAAAUUCUAUCUCUUGUAAUGGUGUACUUCUCUCCCCAACUCAGCUAUAUACAUCAGUUUGAGCCACCGAGACCUCUAAUGACACAAGAUGAAUGUCAUUUUCUUUCGGUAAGUGAACUACUCAACAUUAGUCAUUUAUAUAUUACAGCAAUCGGAAGCAUACUAAUUAAUUAUCAUUCAACGUACCAUCGAAAAAAACUUACAAUAUUUCACAUUACUAAUUAUUAUUCAUAUUAUCAUUAAUAGAAAUUAGUGCAUGCUUGAUGAUAGAUUCCUUGGAAGCGUGCUUGAUGCUUGAUUCAUUGAGAAGCGUGCAAGUGCAAGAUCAUUAAUUUCUACGACAUAUUAGAUGAAUUUCUUUGUAGUUUGGGAAGUAUUCCAAAAAUGACAAGUAUAUUAAUUAUGAUUGAACAUUAAAAGUGCUAAUUGUAAACUGGCCGAAGUACAUGGUGUUAAAACUAACCUGACAUAUUAUAAUAUCAAUGAAGAUUCCUCUUUAAUCAAUAUAUGAGAGAUGAUAAUUUCAUAAAAAAAAAUUAAGGAGCAAGCUAAGUUACCUCUGAA
This 22589-nucleotide long non-coding RNA is filed under the name Zostera marina. RNAcentral describes it as "long non-coding RNA (ZMAR_LNC002010)". Lineage: Eukaryota; Viridiplantae; Streptophyta; Magnoliopsida; Alismatales; Zosteraceae. The record is from RNAcentral.